CAGCCAAAUCGUGCUGAAACACCAAUUCUCGUAUGGUCACAAAAGUUAAGCAACAUUGAUCCUGGUCAGUACCUAGAUGGAUGACCACUUGGGAAAAUCAGGUACUGUAA
This is a non-coding RNA of Acanthosepion pharaonis, 110 nucleotides long. Lineage: Eukaryota; Metazoa; Mollusca; Cephalopoda; Sepiida; Sepiidae. The record is from the annotation of a GenBank genome assembly.